AGCGAACGCUGGCGGCAGGCCUAACACAUGCAAGUCGAACGGAUCCUUCGGGAUUAGUGGCGGACGGGUGAGUAGCACGUGGGAACGUGCCCUUUGGUUCGGAACAACUCAGGGAAACUUGAGCUAAUACCGGAUGUGCCCUUCUGGGGAAAGAUUUAUCGCCAUUGGAGCGGCCCGCGUCUGAUUAGCUAGUUGGUGAGGUAACGGCCCACCAAGGCGACGAUCAGUAGCUGGUCUGAGAGGAUGAUCAGCCACACUGGGACUGAGACACGGCCCAGACUCCUACGGGAGGCAGCAGUGGGGAAUCUUGCGCAAUGGGCGAAAGCCUGACGCAGCCAUGCCGCGUGAAUGAUGAAGGUCUUAGGAUUGUAAAAUUCUUUCAGCGGGGACGAUAAUGACGGUACCCGAAGAAGAAGCUCCGGCUAACUUCGUG
Molecule: ribosomal RNA, 433 nt
Filed under: uncultured bacterium
Lineage: Bacteria
Description: partial 16S ribosomal RNA
Rfam family: Bacterial small subunit ribosomal RNA
Source: RNAcentral